Eurytemora carolleeae is the source of this 253-nucleotide long non-coding RNA. RefSeq lists it as uncharacterized. Lineage: Eukaryota; Metazoa; Arthropoda; Copepoda; Calanoida; Temoridae. The transcript has 2 exons. The record is from RefSeq and is a predicted model, not a curated record.
UGACAUUGUCUUUAUUGAAAGAUGCAUGGUCUCGAACAUUUUCUGAAUAGGAACUGAUGAGGACGUUAUUAAAUGUUGCUAUGUACUGCAAAGAGCAUGGCCUCCAUCGUAUUAUUACCAAUAUGAUAUGGUUCAACCUUCCACAAACUAUACAGCUGAUCAAUAAUGUGAUCAAUAACAUUAUAUGAUUUUUCUCGUUGUUUCUGUAGCACGAAAUCCGCAACACAUUUUAAUAGAGAAAUACCGUUAAAAA